Molecule: transfer RNA, 89 nt
Filed under: Reyranella sp.
Lineage: Bacteria; Pseudomonadati; Pseudomonadota; Alphaproteobacteria; Hyphomicrobiales; Reyranellaceae
Description: tRNA-Leu
Rfam family: tRNA
About the family: Transfer RNA (tRNA) molecules are approximately 80 nucleotides in length. Their secondary structure includes four short double-helical elements and three loops (D, anti-codon, and T loops).
Source: RNAcentral
GCCCGCUUGAUGGAACUGGUAGACAUACGAGACUUAAAAUCUCGAGGCCCGAAAGGGCCGUGCUGGUUCGAGUCCAGCAGCGGGCACCA